AAAGGUAUAGCUCAGUGGUAGAGCACAUAAGUAGCAUGUUCAAGGCCUGGGUUCAAUCUCCAGUACCUCCA
RNAcentral lists this transfer RNA (71 nucleotides) under Camelus ferus (Wild Bactrian camel). It matches the Rfam family "tRNA". From Rfam's summary of the family: Transfer RNA (tRNA) molecules are approximately 80 nucleotides in length. Their secondary structure includes four short double-helical elements and three loops (D, anti-codon, and T loops). Lineage: Eukaryota; Metazoa; Chordata; Mammalia; Artiodactyla; Camelidae. The record is from Rfam by way of RNAcentral.